Molecule: ribosomal RNA, 483 nt
Filed under: uncultured bacterium
Lineage: Bacteria
Description: bacterial SSU rRNA
Rfam family: Bacterial small subunit ribosomal RNA
Source: RNAcentral
AUUGAACGCUGGCGGCAUGCCUUACACAUGCAAGUCGAACGGCAGCACGGGAGCAAUCCUGGUGGCGAGUGGCGAACGGGUGAGUAAUAUAUCGGAACGUGCCCAGUCGUGGGGAUAACGUAGCGAAAGCUACGCUAAUACCGCAUACGAUCUAUGGAUGAAAGCGGGGGAUCGCAAGACCUCGCGCGAUUGGAGCGGCCGAUAUCAGAUUAGGUAGUUGGUGAGGUAAAGGCUCACCAAGCCGACGAUCUGUAGCUGGUCUGAGAGGACGACCAGCCACACUGGGACUGAGACACGGCCCAGACUCCUACGGGAGGCAGCAGUGGGGAAUAUUGGACAAUGGGCGAAAGCCUGAUCCAGCAAUGCCGCGUGAGUGAUGAAGGCCUUAGGGUUGUAAACUGCUUUUGUACGGAACGAAACGGUGAGCUCUAAUACAGUUUGCUAAUGACGGUACCGUAAGAAUAAGACACCGGCUAACUAACG